RNAcentral lists this transfer RNA (69 nucleotides) under Chrysochroa fulgidissima. Its description in RNAcentral is "tRNA-Gln". It matches the Rfam family "tRNA". Rfam says of the family: Transfer RNA (tRNA) molecules are approximately 80 nucleotides in length. The record is from RNAcentral. Lineage: Eukaryota; Metazoa; Arthropoda; Insecta; Coleoptera; Buprestidae.
UAUGUUUUAGUAUAUGAUGUACACUAGAUUUUGAUUCUUGAGGAGAUAGUUUGAAUCUAUUAAAUGUAA